UAGAGAUUCCUCCCUGGCAGCAUC
This 24-nucleotide non-coding RNA is filed under the name Arabidopsis thaliana (thale cress). Lineage: Eukaryota; Viridiplantae; Streptophyta; Magnoliopsida; Brassicales; Brassicaceae. The record is from RNAcentral.